UACGGAGGAUGCGAGCGUUAUCCGGAUUUAUUGGGUUUAAAGGGUGCGCAGGCGGCCUGUUAAGUCAGCGGUAAAAGCCCGGGGCUCAACCCCGGCGAGCCGUUGAAACUGGCGGGCUGGAGUUGGAGAGAAGUACGCGGAAUGCGCGGUGUAGCGGUGAAAUGCAUAGAUAUCACGAAGAACUCCGAUUGCGAAGGCAGCUUACCAGUCUGCGACUGACGCUCAGGCACGAAAGUGUGGGUAUCGAACAGG
RNAcentral lists this ribosomal RNA (252 nucleotides) under uncultured Bacteroidales bacterium. RNAcentral describes it as "partial 16S ribosomal RNA". It matches the Rfam family "Bacterial small subunit ribosomal RNA", at positions 524 to 776 of the family's 1533-position model. Lineage: Bacteria; Pseudomonadati; Bacteroidota; Bacteroidia; Bacteroidales. The record is from RNAcentral.